Molecule: ribosomal RNA, 439 nt
Filed under: uncultured bacterium
Lineage: Bacteria
Description: partial 16S ribosomal RNA
Rfam family: Bacterial small subunit ribosomal RNA
Source: RNAcentral
CUACGGGCCGCUGCAGUGGGGAAUAUUGCACAAUGGAGGAAACUCUGAUGCAGCAACGCCGCGUGGAGGAUGACACUUUUCGGAGCGUAAACUCCUUUUAUAUAGGAAGAAGAUGACGGUACUAUAUGAAUAAGCGCCGGCUAACUCCGUGCCAGCAGCCGCGGUAAUACGGAGGGCGCAAGCGUUACUCGGAAUCACUGGGCGUAAAGAGCGUGUAGGCGGAUUAAAAAGUCAGAAGUGAAAUCCUAUAGCUUAACUAUAGAACUGCUUCUGAAACUCUUAAUCUAGAAUAUGGGAGAGGUAGAUGGAAUUUCUGGUGUAGGGGUAAAAUCCGUAGAGACCAGAAGGAAUACCGAUUGCGAAGGCGAUCUACUAGAACAUUAUUGACGCUGAGACGCGAAAGCGUGGGGAGCAAACAGGGUUAGAUACCCUGGUAGUC